RNAcentral lists this ribosomal RNA (213 nucleotides) under uncultured bacterium. RNAcentral describes it as "partial 16S ribosomal RNA". It matches the Rfam family "Bacterial small subunit ribosomal RNA", at positions 1288 to 1500 of the family's 1533-position model. The record is from RNAcentral.
UCAGUUCNGACUGCAGGCUGCAACUCGCCUGCACGAAGUCGGAAUUGCUAGUAAUCGUAGGUCAGCAUACUACGGUGAAUACGUUCCCGGGCCUUGUACACACCGCCCGUCAAACCAUGAGAGUUGGCAACACCCGAAGUCGGUAGUCUAACCGCAAGGAGGACGCCGCCGAAGGUGGGGUUGAUGAUUAGGGUUAAGUCGUAACAAGGUAUC